Molecule: transfer RNA, 82 nt
Filed under: Candidatus Omnitrophota bacterium
Lineage: Bacteria; Pseudomonadati; Candidatus Omnitrophota
Description: Candidatus Omnitrophica bacterium (sediment metagenome) tRNA-Leu
Rfam family: tRNA
About the family: Transfer RNA (tRNA) molecules are approximately 80 nucleotides in length. Their secondary structure includes four short double-helical elements and three loops (D, anti-codon, and T loops). Further hydrogen bonds mediate the characteristic L-shaped molecular structure. tRNAs have two regions of fundamental functional importance: the anti-codon, which is responsible for specific mRNA codon recognition, and the 3' end, to which the tRNAs corresponding amino acid is attached (by aminoacyl-tRNA synthetases). tRNAs cope with the degeneracy of the genetic code in two manners: having more than one tRNA (with a specific anti-codon) for a particular amino acid; and 'wobble' base-pairing, i.e. permitting non-standard base-pairing at the 3rd anti-codon position.
Source: RNAcentral
GCGGAAGUGGUGAAAUUGGCAGACACGUAGGUCUCAGAAGCCUAUGUCGCAAGACUUGAGGGUUCAAGUCCCUCCUUCCGCA